UGCUUCUUCUCACAAGGCAUCGGAUUUUUGUAUGGAAAGAUUGAUCUGCUGUCUGCAAUGCCUCCAUUCUUAGGUGGUGGAGAGAUGAUCUCAGAUGUAUUUCUUGACCAUUCCACAUUUGCACAACCUCCUUCCAGAUUUGAGGCUGGGACACCAGCAAUUGGAGAAGCAAUUGGAUUGGGAGCUGCUAUUGAUUAUUUGUCCG
RNAcentral lists this unclassified non-coding RNA (205 nucleotides) under Hevea brasiliensis (rubber tree). The record is from RNAcentral. Lineage: Eukaryota; Viridiplantae; Streptophyta; Magnoliopsida; Malpighiales; Euphorbiaceae.